RNAcentral lists this ribosomal RNA (253 nucleotides) under uncultured bacterium. RNAcentral's name for it is "partial 16S ribosomal RNA". It matches the Rfam family "Bacterial small subunit ribosomal RNA", at positions 524 to 776 of the family's 1533-position model. The record is from RNAcentral.
GACAGAGGUGCCGAGCGUUAGGCGGAAUCACUGGGCUUAAAGCGUGUGUAGGCGGAUCCGUAAGUACCUUGUGAAAUCCCACGGCUUAACCGUGGAACUGCUUGGUAUACUGCGGGUCUUGAGCCACUUAGGGGCUACCGGAACAAAUGGUGGAGCGGUGAAAUGCGUAGAUAUCAUUUGGAACGCCAAUGGUGAAAACAGGUAGCUGGGAGUGUGCUGACGCUGAGACACGAAAGCCAGGGGAGCGAACGGG